This 563-nucleotide ribosomal RNA is filed under the name Shigella sonnei. RNAcentral describes it as "bacterial SSU rRNA". It matches the Rfam family "Bacterial small subunit ribosomal RNA", at positions 963 to 1526 of the family's 1533-position model. The record is from RNAcentral. Lineage: Bacteria; Pseudomonadati; Pseudomonadota; Gammaproteobacteria; Enterobacterales; Enterobacteriaceae.
GAAGAACCUUACCUGGUCUUGACAUCCACAGAACUUUCCAGAGAUGGAUUGGUGCCUUCGGGAACUGUGAGACAGGUGCUGCAUGGCUGUCGUCAGCUCGUGUUGUGAAAUGUUGGGUUAAGUCCCGCAACGAGCGCAACCCUUAUCCUUUGUUGCCAGCGGUCCGGCCGGGAACUCAAAGGAGACUGCCAGUGAUAAACUGGAGGAAGGUGGGGAUGACGUCAAGUCAUCAUGGCCCUUACGACCAGGGCUACACACGUGCUACAAUGGCGCAUACAAAGAGAAGCGACCUCGCGAGAGCAAGCGGACCUCAUAAAGUGCGUCGUAGUCCGGAUUGGAGUCUGCAACUCGACUCCAUGAAGUCGGAAUCGCUAGUAAUCGUGGAUCAGAAUGCCACGGUGAAUACGUUCCCGGGCCUUGUACACACCGCCCGUCACACCAUGGGAGUGGGUUGCAAAAGAAGUAGGUAGCUUAACCUUCGGGAGGGCGCUUACCACUUUGUGAUUCAUGACUGGGGUGAAGUCGUAACAAGGUAACCGUAGGGGAACCUGCGGUUGGAUCAC